This 476-nucleotide ribosomal RNA is filed under the name uncultured bacterium. RNAcentral's name for it is "SSU rRNA". It matches the Rfam family "Bacterial small subunit ribosomal RNA", at positions 26 to 518 of the family's 1533-position model. The record is from RNAcentral.
AGGACGAACGCUGGCGGCGUGCUUAACACAUGCAAGUCGAGCGAGGCCCUCUCUUCGGAGAGGUGCCCUAGCGGCGAACGGGUGAGUAACACGUGGGCAACCUGCCCCUAGCACUGGGAUAAGCCCGGGAAACCGGGUCUAAUACCGGAUAUGACCUUCAAGGGCAUCCUCGAAGGUGUAAAGGAUUCUGGCUAGGGAUGGGCCCGCGGCCUAUCAGCUUGUUGGUGGGGUAAUGGCCCACCAAGGCAACGACGGGUAGCCGGCCUGAGAGGGCGACCGGCCACACUGGGACUGAGACACGGCCCAGACUCCUACGGGAGGCAGCAGUGGGGAAUAUUGCACAAUGGGCGAAAGCCUGAUGCAGCGACGCCGCGUGAGGGAUGACGGCCUUCGGGUUGUAAACCUCUUUCAGCUCCGACGAAGCGAAAGUGACGGUAGGAGCAGAAGAAGCACGGCCAACUACGUGCCAGCAGCGC